Gadus morhua (Atlantic cod) is the source of this 1581-nucleotide long non-coding RNA. The record is from Ensembl. NCBI's taxonomy places the organism in Eukaryota, Metazoa, Chordata, Actinopteri, Gadiformes, Gadidae.
AUGGACCCUGCUGACACGCUGGCUGUGCGGGCAUUAAAGGAGAAGAGACCAAGAACUGUGGGAGAGUGCAGGGCAGUAAUGGGUCUCCUCAGUUAUUACCGCCAGUACAUCAGAGACUUCUCCCGUAUUGCUGGACCCCUGUAUGCCCUGCUUGAAGCAGAACCAGGAGCAGCGACACAGAAGAGCAGCAACACAAGGAUGACGAGAGGAAAAGUGAAGAAUAGAGGGGUACCUUCUAAUAAGCCGAUCACCUGGACUGAUGUGCACCAACAGGUAUUGGAGAGAUUAAUUGAAUGUCUGGUUAACCCUCCCAUCCUCGGGUUCCCUGACUUCAAUAAGUCAUUCAUCUUGCAUACAGAUGCCUCAAACCAAGGCCUAGGUGCAGUGUUGUAUCAAGAACAAGAGGAAAAGCUACGUGUCAUAGCGUAUGCAUCAAGAACACUGACCAAGGCGGAAAAGAAUUACCACCUCCACUCUGGGAAACUAGAGUUCCUAGCCUUGAAGUGGGCUGUGACCGAGCGCUUCAGAGAUUAUUUGAUGACUUGUUCUUGCACUGUGUACACGGACAACAAUCCACUUACCUACGUGUUGUCCACAGCCAAGCUGAACGCUACAGGGAGUAGGUGGGUUGCUGAACUAGCAGACUUUCAUCUCAUCAUCAAGUAUCGUCCAGGCAGAGAGAACGGUGAUGCUGAUGGGCUGUCCAGAAUGCCCUGUGACAUCGAAGAGAUGAUGGGGAACUGUACAGAGGAAAUGUCCUCCCACUCAGUACAAGCCACAGUGCAAGCUAUAGAAACAAGAGACUCUCAAACAGCAUGUUGGAUCAUGGCCCCAGGGUGUGUAGGGACAGAAGAGGAGCUACCCACACCCUUCUCAAGAGCAGAGAUCUGUCAGGCACAGAGGGAUGACCCGAACAUUGGCCCCGUAAUAGACUACAAACAGUCAGAUCAAAGACCUGUGGGACAGCAAUUAAAGUCAUCCAGUGCACAGAGCAAGCGUCUACUCAGAGAGUGGAACAAACUCAGUUUGGAUGACGAUGGCAUACUACACCGAAAGACUGUCACAAGAACACAACUUGUCUUACCAGACAAGUAUAAGGCAACAGUCCUGAGACAACUCCAUGACGACAUGGGACAUCAGGGUGUGGACCGUACCACAUCACUUGUGCGAGACCGUUUCUUCUGGCCACACAUGCAGCGAGAGGUGGAGACCUACCUGUCCCGAUGCUGUGCCUGCCUCAAACAGAAAAAGCCCUGUAGAGAAACAAGAGCCCCUCUCAUCCCCAUUGUCACAACACAGCCAUUUGAAUUAGUAUCCAUUGACUUUAUGCAUUUGGACAAAUGUAAAGGUGGCUAUGAAUACAUCCUGGUCAUAGUCGACCAUUACACCCGCUUUGCCCAGGCCUACGCCACAACAAUGGAAUCUGCUAAGUGUGUUGCUGACAAAAUAUUCAAUGAUUACGCCCUUAAGUGGGGUUUUCCCCAGCGAAUCCACCAUGACAUGGGAGGUGAAUGGGAAAACCAGUUGAUUUCACAGCUACAGAAGAACAGUGGAAUGAUGGGCUCGAGAACUUGGGGUUAA